This is a long non-coding RNA of Zeugodacus cucurbitae (melon fly), 1731 nucleotides long. RefSeq lists it as uncharacterized. Lineage: Eukaryota; Metazoa; Arthropoda; Insecta; Diptera; Tephritidae. The transcript is spliced from 3 exons. The record is from RefSeq and is a predicted model, not a curated record.
UGCUUCCAUGUGUUGUUUUGCAUAAGCAGAAAGUAUUCGGCAUUUUCUUUUAUUAAUUUAAGAAAUAUUUUUUUUUGAUUUGAAAUUUGUUUACUUUUGAAUUUCAAAAUUUGAAUUUUUGAAUAAAUGUAAGGGUUAAAUCAAUGGCAACAAACAUGUCAAAUUCGGGUAAAAAAAUUAAAAUGUCAUAUACUUAGUUCACUUUGUUGAAUACACUUUGGUAAAAACUAGUAAGCAAGACACAGUUCUGAUAAGAGAGUUGUCGAGUGAGGACAAUUUUAAAGAGAGAGUUGUCGAGUAAAGUGCAAAUAAGUUAUAAGUUGGAUUUGUAAAGUACACUGCAAGACGAGCAGAGUUACUAAACUUAUGGAAUAUUACCUUAAAGUUACCAUUUCUCCUCUUUUACGGCAUGUCGGUGUGAUUAUCUUGCUCGCUCUCUCUCAUAGAUUUUGGUACCAAUGUUGCAUAUAUCUUUCUGCUCUAAUUUUUCUUUGUUUUGGAAAAGCAUGUGUCACUCUGUGGUUAGCAGAGCCCCCUGCAGUAGUUUUUUUUUAAUCAGCCACGCAGCAAGUCAUGGGUACUGAAACUCAUUCAAAGAAAUUUUAAUAACACCACUACAUACACACAAAUGCAACAAAGGGCGAAAUGUGCAUAAACUCUUCUUUCGUACAGCACCCUGAAUGAUAGAAAGAAACAACCAAACUUCUCUUGUUUAAACAAGAUUUGUUUUGAGCUAUAACAUGGCUGUUUGUGAAGUAUUAUUUUGCGUGUUUUAUUUAAAUCAGUGAUCUGCAGACUAAUUAAAGUUUAAAUUAUUUAACCACGCAUUUUUAUAUAAGUAAAACGUAAAAUAUAAGUUUUCUAAAAACAAGAACUCUCGAAGGGAUAGAAAUAUGUGUUGCAAGCAAAUCCAGAACUAUGGCCGCAAACGCUGCUACAUCGAAGGCAAAUCAUUUACGCACCAGAUAUUAGUAUGAUAGUCUUUCAACUUGAAAUUCGUCCUGGUUCAGUUAUAUGUAGUUGAAUCGGAAUUAGUUCAGGUGCAAUGCCACAUUUUUUAUAUGCAAUUAAACCAUUUGGUCAUCUACAUACACUUGGCAUCCACGAAGUGCGGGUGCAACAAGCAUGUGAAGAAUUGGAACGACAUGGUUUAGGUGCGUUUGCAACCGUUUAUCAUCGCGAUGGGGAUCAACUGGGUUUUGCCAAUGAGCUAGAGGGCAAAGCAGUUGCAGUAUUUUUGGACUUACCGGCACCUCAGUUGGCCGUGCCAUUAGCAAUUAAAACACAGAAAUUAAAGGGAGGACUUUUUUGAUUCAUUUUCACCUUGUAUUGAAGAAUCAUAACGUUAUUGUAUCGCUUUACAAGGACAUGGAUUCACCGAAAUUAUUUCAAUGGAAAUACUACAGCAAGAGCAUGGAUGUUAUGACUAGAACGUUGCCCGUGCUAUAUUUAGAAUUCCUGAAACAUAAGAAACCCUCCUCCCAGAAAUUGGAUGAAUCUAUUACUAGUAGAAUUAAUGAAAGAACAGAUCUUACAAAACCUCCUAAAAAAACCAAAAGAGUCCUCACAUAAUGUGCGCAGCUUACACUUCCAGGUAUUUGACAUUUGCCACUCUUCCUCCAGCCUUUGUCAGAUAGCAAAAAUUGUUCAACUAUUCAUUACGUUUUACAUAUAUAUAUAGUGUAGUACGAUAAUACAUUUAUAAUGUAAAUAUAAUAAUAAACACCUAAA